CACUGCUUCUUCUAUUGAAGAAUGAGCUAUAUGCUUAACACAGGACUCUGAAAAUUACUUUUCACUGGCCUGGUUUAUUAGUCAAGCUGAAUCCAAAAUACCUGAAGUACUUCACUUUCCUGAAAGCAGGAAGCACCAUCUUAUUAUACGAAUACAAGCUACUUGCUUAUCAGUUGUUUUCAUAAUUAAAUCAGAAUAAGCUACGAUCAAUAAAAAUAUCGUAGUAUAGUUACAGCUACUUUGUUGGCUGUAACGUGAUUUAAUUGUAG
RNAcentral lists this long non-coding RNA (269 nucleotides) under Gossypium barbadense (sea-island cotton). Its description in RNAcentral is "long non-coding RNA (GBAR_LNC020079)". Lineage: Eukaryota; Viridiplantae; Streptophyta; Magnoliopsida; Malvales; Malvaceae. The record is from RNAcentral.